This 72-nucleotide transfer RNA is filed under the name Chryseobacterium cucumeris. RNAcentral's name for it is "tRNA-Pro". It matches the Rfam family "tRNA". From Rfam's summary of the family: Transfer RNA (tRNA) molecules are approximately 80 nucleotides in length. Their secondary structure includes four short double-helical elements and three loops (D, anti-codon, and T loops). Further hydrogen bonds mediate the characteristic L-shaped molecular structure. tRNAs have two regions of fundamental functional importance: the anti-codon, which is responsible for specific mRNA codon recognition, and the 3' end, to which the tRNAs corresponding amino acid is attached (by aminoacyl-tRNA synthetases). tRNAs cope with the degeneracy of the genetic code in two manners: having more than one tRNA (with a specific anti-codon) for a particular amino acid; and 'wobble' base-pairing, i.e. permitting non-standard base-pairing at the 3rd anti-codon position. Lineage: Bacteria; Pseudomonadati; Bacteroidota; Flavobacteriia; Flavobacteriales; Weeksellaceae. The record is from RNAcentral. RNAcentral also lists the same sequence under 3 other names.
CAGAGCAGUAGCUUAAUCUGGAAAAGCAUAUCCAUGGAGGAUAGGUUGCCGGUUCGAUCCCGGUCUCUUUGG